This 352-nucleotide unclassified non-coding RNA is filed under the name soil metagenome. RNAcentral's name for it is "partial contains 5.8S ribosomal RNA, internal transcribed spacer 2, and large subunit ribosomal RNA". The stretch from base 1 to 120 matches the Rfam family "5.8S ribosomal RNA", at positions 35 to 154 of the family's 154-position model. The record is from RNAcentral.
GAUGAAGAACGCAGCGAAAUGCGAUAAGUAAUGUGAAUUGCAGAAUUCAGUGAAUCAUCGAAUCUUUGAACGCACAUUGCGCCCGCCAGUAUUCUGGCGGGCAUGCCUGUUCGAGCGUCAUUACAACCCUCAGGCCCCCGGGCCUGGCGUUGGGGAUCGGCGGAGCCCCCCGUGGGCACACGCCGUCCCCCAAAUGCAGUGGCGGUCCCGCCGCAGCUUCCAUCGCGUAGUUGCUAACACCUCGCGACUGGAGAGCGGCGCGGCCACGCCGUAAAACACCCAACUCUUCUGAAGUUGACCUCGAAUCAGGUAGGAAUACCCGCUGAACUUAAGCAUAUCAAUAAGCGGAGGA